AGUUUGAUCAUGGCUCAGAUUGAACGCUGGCGGCAUGCCUUACACAUGCAAGUCGAACGGCAGCGCGGGGCAACCUGGCGGCGAGUGGCGAACGGGUGAGUAAUAUAUCGGAACGUGCCCUGGAGUGGGGGAUAACGCAGCGAAAGUUGCGCUAAUACCGCAUACGAUCUAAGGAUGAAAGCGGGGGAUUCGCAAGAACCUCGUGCUCCUGGAGUGGCCGAUAUCUGAUUAGCUAGCUGGUGGGGUAAAGGCCUACCAAGGCAUCGAUCAGUAGCUGGUCUGAGAGGACGACCAGCCACACUGGAACUGAGACACGGUCCAGACUCCUACGGGAGGCAGCAGUGGGGAAUUUUGGACAAUGGGCGCAAGCCUGAUCCAGCAAUGCCGCGUGAGUGAAGAAGGCCUUCGGGUUGUAAAGCUCUUUUGUCAGGGAAGAAACGGUGCGGGCUAAUAUCCCGCACUAAUGACGGUACCUGAAGAAUAAGCACCGACUAACUACGUGCCAGCAGCCGCGGUAAUACGUAGGGUGCAAGCGUUAAUCGGAAUUACUGGGCGUAAAGCGUGCGCAGGCGGUUUUGUAAGUUUGUCGUGAAAUCCCCGGGCUCAACCUGGGAAUUGUGAUGAAGACUGCAAGGCUAGAAUCUGGCAGAGGGGGGUAGAAUUCCACGUGUAGCAGUGAAAUGCGUAGAGAUGUGGAGGA
This 700-nucleotide ribosomal RNA is filed under the name uncultured bacterium. RNAcentral's name for it is "bacterial SSU rRNA". It matches the Rfam family "Bacterial small subunit ribosomal RNA", at positions 10 to 705 of the family's 1533-position model. The record is from RNAcentral.